Molecule: long non-coding RNA, 746 nt
Organism: Eriocheir sinensis (Chinese mitten crab)
Lineage: Eukaryota; Metazoa; Arthropoda; Malacostraca; Decapoda; Varunidae
Exons: 4
Source: RefSeq, a predicted model, not a curated record
CACAUGACAGCCAGCACCUUAUGGUAUAAAUCAACAAAGAAUGACCUCACUUUGUUGUAUAGAAAGUCUCAUUAGUAAGGAAGCAUAUAUGAAUUUUCUGAGUCAAGACCUAUAGUGACUGUUUGGGGUUUUGUUAGGUUAAGUUUAGGGUAUCUUCAAACACAUGACAGCCAGCACCUUAUGGUAUAAAUCAACAAAGAAUGACCUCACUUUGUUGUAUAGAAAGUCUCAUUAGUAAGGAAGCAUAUAUGAAUUUUCUGAGUCAAGACCUAUAGUGACUGUUUGGGGUUUUGUUAGGUUAAGUUUAGGGUAUCUUCAAACACAUGAUAGCCAGCACCUUAUGGUAUAAAUCAACAAAGAAUGACCUCACUUUGUUGUAUAGAAAGUCUCAUUAGUAAGGAAGCAUAUAUGAAUUUUCUGAGUCAAGACCUAUAGUGACUGUUUGGGGUUUUGUUAGGUUAGGUUAAGUUUAGGGUAUCUUCAAACACAUGAUAGCCAGCACCUUAUGGUAUAAAUCAACAAAGAAUGACCUCACUUUGUUGUGUAGAAAGUCUCAUUAGUAAGGAAGCAUAUAUGAAUUUUCUGAGUCAAGACCUAUAGUAACUGUUUGGGGUUUUGUUAGGUUAGGUUAGGUUAAGUUUAGGGUAUCUUCAAACACAUGAUAGCCAGCACCUUAUGGUAUAAAUCAACAAAGAAUGACCUCACUUUGUUGUGUAGAAAGUCUCAUUAGUAAGGAAGCAUAUAUG